ACCCGCACAAGCAGCGGAGCGUGUGGUUUAAUUCGUUGCUACACGAAGAACCUUACCUGGGUUUGACAUAUAGGUUGUAGGGAACUGAAAGGGACCGACCUUCGGGAGCCUAUACAGGUGUUGCAUGGCUGUCGUCAGCUCGUGUCGCGAGAUGUUCGGUUAAGUCCGCUAACGAGCGCAACCCUCGUCGUAUGUUAUAUGUGUCAUACGAGACUGCCGGUAAAAGCCGGAGGAAGGUGAGGAUGAUGUCAAGUCAGCAUGACCUUUAUAUCCAGGGCUACACACACGCUACAAUGGUCUGUACAAUGGGUAGCCAAGCCGCGAGGCGGAGCCAAUCCUGAAAGCAGGCCUCAGUUCAGAUUGCAGUCUGCAACUCGACCGCAUGAAGCCGGAGUUGCUAGUAACCGCAGGUCAGCAAUACUGCGGUGAAUACGUUCCCGGGUCUU
This 446-nucleotide ribosomal RNA is filed under the name uncultured Anaerolineaceae bacterium. Its description in RNAcentral is "bacterial SSU rRNA". It matches the Rfam family "Bacterial small subunit ribosomal RNA", at positions 919 to 1382 of the family's 1533-position model. Lineage: Bacteria; Bacillati; Chloroflexota; Anaerolineae; Anaerolineales; Anaerolineaceae. The record is from RNAcentral.